AAAUUGGCCCUUUUUAGGGCCACAAAGUAUUUCAUUACGAAGGAAU
This is a non-coding RNA of Melipona quadrifasciata, 46 nucleotides long. The record is from Rfam. NCBI's taxonomy places the organism in Eukaryota, Metazoa, Arthropoda, Insecta, Hymenoptera, Apidae.